This is a non-coding RNA of Pelobates cultripes (western spadefoot toad), 1681 nucleotides long. Lineage: Eukaryota; Metazoa; Chordata; Amphibia; Anura; Pelobatidae. The record is from the annotation of a GenBank genome assembly.
CUUUAAGAGCGCGCCCGAGACUCGCGGCGCGCUCUUAGUUUCAGGCGGGACACGUGACCGCCUCACGCGGUCACUGCCCGCCUUCCAUCCGAAGUAGUUGGAUGAGCCGCGCGCGGCUCGUGCAGCCGCAGGACCGCGCGCGGCUUGAAGAGAGGACCGCGACCGGCCCCCGGUUAAGGUAAGUAACGCUACACAGGGAUACUUGGGAAUUUUUCUUAGACCUGCAAGGUUACUUUUCUGUAAAAGGUUGAGCAACCCUGCUAUAAGAAACACCUAAAUUGGCAUCCCUCUAAACUGGUAUUCCUUAUCUGGCUGAUAUAUUUUUAUGCUUCAUAGAGAUUUGCCAGUGUAUUCACCUUAAACUAAUCAAGGUGAGCUAGCUCCAGCUGCUUAUAUAUAAGAUAUAAGUAAAAUAUUUCUGAAGGUGGCAGUAUGCUUUGUCUAAAAACUGUUAGCGUUACCUCUGUUUAACCCAUUAAAAAAAGCUGACCAUGAAUUUGUGUGGCAUAAAUAUAACCCCUGUGUGAUUUUUUUUCUCUCUUUUUUGCAGUCUUUAUUUAUAUAAUGUUCAGUGUAAGACAGUUAUGGACAAUAGAGAAAAGAUUGAUGUAAAAUAUAAUGUGUAAGUUCACAAAACGAUAGCAGUCGGUGUGUACGUAUGAGGUUAGUUCCAUGCAUAUAUUUAUUGUGUCAUUUCACUGUUUUAAAGGGGUGCUCCGUGCACCAAAACAACUUCAUCUAAAUGAACUCUUACCUUCAGGGCUUAAACCAUUCUUGGGUGUACGGGUAAUAUUUUGAGUUUUUAAACACAGAGGUGAAUUCCAGUCUUGUAAAUAUCCCUCAUAUUUAAAUGGUCAUUAAAGUUGGGAAAAAAAUUACAGGACAUUAAAACCAUCAGAAAAUGUUUUGUAAUACGAAAAAAAAAACAAUAAAAAAACAAACAAAGAAUAUAUAUAUUGUAACGGAAGCCUCUGUCACCUUGGUACUUUGAGAGCACUGCAGGUCAGCCUCUUUCCCACCAACUAUGGGCCUUGGCCUACAAGGGAGUUCUGUUUGGGGAGGUUGGUUCACGGGGGACCAUCGGACUACUCUUCUCCCCGGUUAGGGUUUACCACAUUUCCCCAAGCACUAAGAGUCUCUCAGGGCUGCGGAGCUCUGUUAAGGUAUUUGGGUUCUGUAUUUUGAAAGGGGGUUUUGCAGACUGUCUUGCACCUUAAAUUUAUAAGAAAGUUUGUUUUAUUGUACAGGUUUCCUGGCAUCAGUGAGGAUACAGAUUUCCUGGCAUCUGCUAUUGUUUGUAUUUACUGUCAUUAUCUAUACUCUUAGCAGUUGGUGGUUCGCAAGUGAAGUGAAGUCAGGAUACCGAGGCCAGCUAUAUAUAUAGGCAGUGAUCGGCACUCUCGGACUUGUAAAAGUUAAAACUUACAGUUUAUUAAUAAUCCAUUAAAAUCAGAUCAACGUUUCAGUCCCAGCAGGGACUUUCAUCAGGAUCAGGCAUAGAUAAUGUAAUGAAAACAGUGCAUUUAUAUAAAAUAAACAUCAGUAAAAUUAGUGAAAAAUGACUUACCCCUGGUGCUGAGAAUAGUGGGAGUGCUGCCCCUGGCGUCCCCAUUAUCCCGUGCGCAUGCGCGGACGAAGCCAUGCCCCCGCGUGCCGUGAUGACGUCAUGCGUUACCGUGGC